This 1788-nucleotide long non-coding RNA is filed under the name Homo sapiens (human). RNAcentral describes it as "LNC_000865". Lineage: Eukaryota; Metazoa; Chordata; Mammalia; Primates; Hominidae. The record is from RNAcentral.
CUCUGCAUUUCUAAUGGCACAAUGUCAUGGUGGCCUCCCUCUCCUUCCCCUCCCUGAACUCCUUUGGAAUUUACACUCCUAGGCCAUGUCUUAGCUCCUCUGCUAUUCUGUAAUCUCCUUAGGGCAGGGGCUCACAUAAUCCCUAAGAAAAGUGGGCGAAUGGAUGAACGGAAGGCAGGUAAGACACUGGCUCUACAGCCGCAUCACAGCCUGUCCCGUCAAUGUAACACUGGAGGUCACUGUUCCGUUCUCAAAAACCUGCGCACUGAUUACAGAGCCUCAGUUUGCAGGCAUGAGGACCGAACAUGACUUCAAGGGCUGGAGAAGGCAGGAAUGGAGUCCCCACACCUCCACAAAGGUGGGUGGUGCCGAGAAGCCUGAUGAGUCUCCACCACAACUGCCUUAGUGAGCAGCAGGAAGUGCUAUGUUCAUGGAAAAAUCAGCUCACAGAGGCUGGGGCUCAAUAAACCCUGAUUGCCAAGGUCGGAUGAGGCAGGAGGACAGCUAAUGCUUCUGAAUCAUCCAGAAGAUCACUCCACGGUGCCAGGCAACAAACUUGUCUGGCUAUUGAAGGAGCUAUUGUUUCCAUCUGCAUUUAAAAAUAAUGCAUAGGGAAAGGGCCUACUUGGUCUUGUGUCUUGAAAUCUGGAUACGAAAAAUGAAAGAUGCCAUUCUCAGCUCUCAACAAUGAUGCUCCUGCCACUGAAUAAUGACGGUGUGCUCUGCUGUUCCCCCAGAACUGGGGCUACAUGUGUGCUACGGUACCCACAGCUCCUCUUCUCCCUCUGUGGCCAGAGCACUCACUUAAGAGAGUCCAGGCUGGGAGCAGUGAGGUAGUCCUUGGCCAUGAAUGAGAAUGAAACCAGCUGGUGUCAAGCUUGUCCUGUAGGCCUUGCAGGACACCCUCUUAUCAAGCAAGUUCUACAGCACUGACCGAUCAGGACCAGAGCUGAUCAUCCUUCCAAGAUGCUAGAUCUGAGACCCUUCCCGACCCUAGGCCUCUGACUGAGCAAGGCUACGGCCCCAGAGGGAUGGCGUCAAUCCAGGAGGGGUUAACUAAAGAGAACAAAGAGAGCCCCGGCAUUCUCUAAUAUGGCAAGGCCAUCUGCCAGCUGUGAUACUGCCUGCAGGAGAGGGGAGGGCAACAGUAUGAGUUACUGCACACCUGUGUGCACAAGUGCCCAUCAUAAGCACCUGGACAGCUCCCAAGAUCUGCUGAGGACUGAUGCCGCCCACAGCUGGGUGGUGCUACUUCACUCAGAAGACACAGAAAGACUUUAUCGCUCUAUUUAAGUAUCACUUCCAAAGGCACAGGCUGACUUCAGUGAACUCACCAUUCAACAGCCUAACAACUAGAUUAACAAGGAAGACAACUGAGCUUGGAUAUCUUCCGAACCCAUUUCCCAUUUGCCCUGAGAGUACUGUUCUGGCAGUGAGCUGCACUUUUUUUCUCUAAACAGGAAAUGGGUUAAAGCUCCUCUCUCAUUCCCCUUUUUGUUGAAUGACACUGACGUGAAGUUUUUGUUUUUUAAUAUAUGUGCCUUAAAAAUGUAUUAUAGAAGUAUUAGAUGUUCAUAUAUCAGGUAUUUUUAAGUUGGUGACUUUUUCUUAAUAACAUUUUGCUUCCUCGCAUCCCCUUCUGUUCCUAGAUUGUCAACUGAGAGAAGAUUCCUGGGUGCCUUUCUCACGGGCCAAAGGAUGGCUUUGGAGACAACAGAGCCACGGAGGCGUCUGAAGAUGAGGAGGUGACGGGAAGGUUUUAAGUAAUCCAGCUGCGGUGUGGAGGAA